GGAAAUCUCCAGUCAAGAAAUCAUCGGUAUUCUGAAAGACAUCCGAUCAAUAUCUUCAGAGUUUGCAACAAUUUAUUUCUCCACUUUUCUCGUUCAGAAAACUCUAUUGCUGAUGAAUUAGAUAAAAGGGCUCUUCAAGCCUUUCUUAUUUUGUAAUGGACAUCAUGAUCAGUUGGGCUGUAACACCCUGACCUGGCCGUCUAGGCCGCGGUCGAAGCCUUACGUCGCUCGGUCCACUUCCUGGCCGAAGCUCUUAAUUUUUCGCCCUUCAUUUAUAAUAUCGCCCUUAGGCGUGGGCAAUUUUAGACCAUAGCUAAAGACUUCUUUAGUCAUUCAUAGCUUAGAUCCUUUCAAAACAUAUAUGAAGCAGAAUAUUCUCUAACUAACCAUUGGACUAAAUCCAAUCUAAUACUUGUCCGGUCUCAUCGACGAUGCCUUGGCCAGUUCACUAACUACCUUUCGGAUUAUAGAUCGAUCCUUUACACGGUCCAAGUCAUACAAAUUCGAGGUUCCAUUUUCCUAAACCAUUCUAUCUAGAUCUAUGCAAGUUAAUGCUAAAUCAUACCUUUG
Molecule: long non-coding RNA, 570 nt
Filed under: Brassica napus (rape)
Lineage: Eukaryota; Viridiplantae; Streptophyta; Magnoliopsida; Brassicales; Brassicaceae
Description: long non-coding RNA (BNAP_LNC014677)
Source: RNAcentral